Molecule: unclassified non-coding RNA, 1265 nt
Filed under: Hevea brasiliensis (rubber tree)
Lineage: Eukaryota; Viridiplantae; Streptophyta; Magnoliopsida; Malpighiales; Euphorbiaceae
Source: RNAcentral
UUCCCACCAUCUUCAAAAGGGCAGCCCUAGUUUGAGAGAUGUAUCGGAGCUAUCAUCCCCAAGAGGAGGGCCACUGCUGCAGCUGCAGAUGUUAGUGACAGAUUCCGAUGACAUGCCUUCUUCCUGUUGGACAGCGACGUCCGACUCCAAAUGCACUGGCCUUUUCCCUUUGCACCAGAAAGUAGUCAUCUUCUGUUUUAGCCGUUUAUUCUCUUCUAGUAGUUGAGCUCCCUUCUUUUCAAGCAUAGAGAUCUCAUUCAUUAUCUUAUCUCCCUGAAAAGAACAAAAAAACUCUACUGCAAGUUAAUAACAUAUGUGUAUAAAAAUAUAUGAAGAAAUUGUCAAGAAAUUCUACAAAUUAGUAGGUGUGCAUGAGCGCUCGUAUAUAUAAGUCGUAUAUGCCUACUCUUGUAUCAAUUAAAAGUUGGAAAUAACAUGAUACAAAAUAACCUUAGUUUCAAGCACACGCGUAAGUCCAGCUUCAAGCAGUUUUUCCAAUUGCUGCAAUUCCUCUAGGUUUAAUCCUUGCAGAUUCUCUCCCCUCAUCUGCCUUAGUUGAUAGGUCUUUUCAGCAACUUCUUUGGUCAACCGGGCGCGAUUAUUAUUCUCUAACUCCAAUUCAAGUGAUGGUCGGUCCAGUUUGUCGAGGUUAUUGGAAUGCAGAUUAUACCUUGCAAUUAUGUCCUUCAUGCUUCAAGAGUAGUAAUAAUACUGUCAGGAUACAUGCUUUUAAUAGAAUUUUUAAACUAUAUAGCCACCGUGAGUGAAUCUCUGGUGUCAUAGACUUCCUCUCAAUAAAUUUUAAUUUUUUAAUAAAACUACACUUAAUUUAAGAAAUUAGACUUAAAUUACCAUAAUUAGAUGAAUUGAACUAAAAUGCUAUUCCAUGCAAACAAUGAUUAUAAAUGUUAAAAAAUAAAUUGCAAAAUUAUAUAUAUAUAUGAUCCUCCAAAUUUAAUAAAGAUUACAAACUAAGGGCAAGUCUAAUGCAGGUAUUUGACGCCAAGCAACAUAUAAUUACAGGAAGGCAUAUUUCAUUGCACAUUUUAUCAGAUAUUUUCUGUUGAAUGAUAGAGAUUGCUAUUGUGUUUCCUCUCCCUACCUCCCAAUUCUAUUUUAAUUUUUGGAUAAAAUUACAACUAAUUAACAAAAAUUAAAUUACAAUAAUUAAACACAUUGAAUUAAACGCCUAAUUAAAAAAAAUUGAGUUUAAAUUACAAUAAUUAAACACAUUGAAUUAAACGCCUAAUUAAAAAAAAUUGAGU